GGGGCUGAUUAGGUUUCGACGGGGUUUACGAAAACUAGAGGUGCAUGUCGAGUAGCGAUUGGUCUCGUUAAAAAUCGCAAUAAAUAGUCGCAAAUGAUAAAAACUACGCGUUAGCAGCUUAAUAUACUGUAUUAACGCUCUCUACUUAUCUUUUUGCUUUUUAAGAUAAAUAAAAAGAGAAUUAAUUAAAAGAUCGCGUAUAUAUCUUUUUCAGAGGGUAGUACGUUAAAUUUAAUCUGAAUAAUUUAUUAGUUAUGAGUCUAUUUGUAACAAAUAAAUGAAAUUUAAAAUAGACUAAGCAUGUAGUACCAAAGAUGUAGUAAUUUCGGACGCGGGUUCAAUUCCCGCCAGCUCCA
Molecule: transfer-messenger RNA, 356 nt
Filed under: Candidatus Providencia siddallii
Lineage: Bacteria; Pseudomonadati; Pseudomonadota; Gammaproteobacteria; Enterobacterales; Morganellaceae
Rfam family: transfer-messenger RNA
About the family: Bacterial tmRNA, also known as 10Sa RNA or SsrA, is named for its dual tRNA and mRNA-like properties. Its role is to liberate the mRNA from a stalled ribosome.
Source: RNAcentral